Long non-coding RNA from Biomphalaria glabrata, 506 nucleotides. RefSeq lists it as uncharacterized. The transcript has 3 exons. The record is from RefSeq and is a predicted model, not a curated record. NCBI's taxonomy places the organism in Eukaryota, Metazoa, Mollusca, Gastropoda, Planorbidae.
GUAUAAAACUGCGUGCUCACGUUAGAUCCAAGACGUUUUUAAGAAACUACUCACUCUACAUUUGAAAAUGAAAGCUGCCGCCAUUGUCCUGAUCUUCAUCGCACUCUCGUGUGUGUGUGACGCCGUGCCAGCCUGGCAUUCAUUUCGGUCAGGUGAAAGACGUCCGUGUGAGUACGGUGGUGUCACUUAUGCUGACGGGGAGAAAACUAGCGACCCUCUGUGUAUUUGUCUUAAUGGUAACAUAGCCUGCGCUUAACCAACACAGGAUGUCAUGUGACCAGCAGAGAACUCUCUCACCGGUUACAGACGUCAUACAGGAAGUCAAAAGUUCAGUCAAAAGUUCAUAGUAUUUAAACAUCGAAACAAAUGACAAGAUUUUAGCUUCAACUAUUUAUUGUUUUUAGGGAAAAGAUUUUUGUGUUUAAUGUAACUCUGUUUUUUUUUUAUUUCGUAUUUUUUUCUCGUCCAUAUUUUUUAUUUCCUUGAAUAAAUUUCUUACCCUCGAA